Molecule: ribosomal RNA, 300 nt
Filed under: uncultured Lactobacillus sp.
Lineage: Bacteria; Bacillati; Bacillota; Bacilli; Lactobacillales; Lactobacillaceae
Description: bacterial SSU rRNA
Rfam family: Bacterial small subunit ribosomal RNA
Source: RNAcentral
UGCGAAUGGCGUGGUCGGAGGCGCGGUGAUACGGAGAGCCCGAUAGGGUUGUGGAUGUAUGAUGGGGAAAGCGAGCUCAGGGGGGUGGAUAAGUCUGAAGGUAAAGGCUGUGGCGCAACCAUAGUUCGCGUUGGAAACGUGCAAACUGGAGUGCAGAAGGGGAGAGUGGAAGUCCAUGUGUAGCGGUGAAAUGCGUAGAUAUAUGGAGGAACACCGGUGGCGAAAGCGGCUCUCUGGUCUGUAACUGACGCUGAGGCUCGAAAGCGUGGGGAGCGAACAGGAUUAGAUACCCCAGUAGUC